AUUGAACGCUGGCGGCGUGCUUUACACAUGCAAGUCGGACGAGUGGCGAACGGGUGAGUAACGCAUCGGAACGUACCGGGUGAUGGGGGAUAACUGUCCGAAACGACAGCUAAUACCGCAUAUCAUUCGAUCUGCCCAGGUCUGAUUAGCUGGUGGGGGGGGUAACGGCUCACCAAGGCGACGAUCCAUAGCGGGUCUGAGAGGAUGAUCGGCCACACGGGAACUGAGACACGGUCCAGACUCCUACGGGAGGCAGAAGUGGGGAAUGUUGGACAAUGGGCGCAAGCCUGAUCCAGCCAUGCCGCGUGUGUGAAGAAGGCCUUCGGGUUGUAAAGGACUUUUGUCAGGGAAGCGGUACCGGAAGAAAAAGCACCGGCUAACUACGUGCCAGCAGCCGCGGUAAUAC
This 406-nucleotide ribosomal RNA is filed under the name uncultured bacterium. RNAcentral's name for it is "partial 16S ribosomal RNA". It matches the Rfam family "Bacterial small subunit ribosomal RNA", at positions 30 to 526 of the family's 1533-position model. The record is from RNAcentral.